AAGACUAUACUUUCAGAGAUCAUUUCUUUAGUUGUUGAUUUGAGAAAUGUGUUUGUAAAGAGUUCGUUGUCGCUGUCCAUGAUGAAGAGUUCAGAUGCUUCCUUCAGAGUUGGAAACUGGUGGGAAGACUUUCUUUCUUUUUGACUAUUAAAGAUUGUUUGGAGCUACUCAAAGACUCCCUGAAGCAGGAAACAUGAUCUCAGUGGA
This is a small nucleolar RNA of Labrus bergylta (ballan wrasse), 207 nucleotides long. Its record names the gene U3. It matches the Rfam family "Small nucleolar RNA U3". From Rfam's summary of the family: Small nucleolar RNAs (snoRNAs) are involved in the processing and modification of rRNA in the nucleolus. The record is from Ensembl. Lineage: Eukaryota; Metazoa; Chordata; Actinopteri; Labriformes; Labridae.